UACAGAGACUGCAAGCGUUAUUCGGAUUCACUGGGCGUAAAGGGUGCGCAGGCGGCCGUGUGUGUCAGUUGUGAAAGCCCGGAGCUUAACUCCGGAAUUGCGCCUGAAACUACAUGGCUAGAGCAUUGGAGAGGGUAGCGGAAUUCACGGUGUAGCAGUGAAAUGCGUAGAUAUCGUGAGGAACACCAGAGGCGAAGGCGGCUACCUGGAACGGUACUGACGCUGAGACGCGAAAGCGUGGGGAGCAAACAGG
This 253-nucleotide ribosomal RNA is filed under the name uncultured bacterium. RNAcentral describes it as "partial 16S ribosomal RNA". It matches the Rfam family "Bacterial small subunit ribosomal RNA", at positions 524 to 776 of the family's 1533-position model. The record is from RNAcentral.